Columba livia (rock pigeon) is the source of this 2620-nucleotide long non-coding RNA. RefSeq lists it as uncharacterized. The transcript is spliced from 2 exons. Lineage: Eukaryota; Metazoa; Chordata; Aves; Columbiformes; Columbidae. The record is from RefSeq and is a predicted model, not a curated record.
GGGAGGCACGGGCUGUCCCGGCCGGGCACCGGCAGGAUGGAGCUCUCCGAAUCUGCCGCGCCGCAUCUGCCGAGCGAGGGGGAGGGUGAGCACCGGAGCAGGCGGGCGGUCUGGGGAUGUGGGGGCGGGCUGCGGGGACACUUUUCUGAGCCAGUUCCCUCCCCGCAAAAAAAGUGAGUGGAAAGACCUGCAAAUGUGUGCGGGACUGGCCCGUGCGUUCCCCACUCCCUCGGUGGCCGCCUGUCCCGGGAGAGGCUCAUGGGCAGCCGGCGGCGAUCGCAAACCGAGCGGCUGGUUCGUUCAGUGGAGUAAAAGCAUGCAGCCUUCUGCUAACGGAGCGAGCGCCGGUGGUUCCCCAAGCACCCCAGCGGAGUGAACCCUUCAGGGCUGCCCUGGCCAGGGCCCGGGCGUGGCCCCAGCACCGUUUGUCACCUGCAAGGCAGGGCUGCAAGGACGAGACUGUCGCUUCUGCGUGGCAUUUCCGCCUGAAAUGAAUCGCCUCCGUUUGCUUUGUGUGGGCACACAGGCAGCUCAAGAAUGUCAUCCGGCUACAGAAAAGGAGCUUCUCUGCAGUGCAUCAUGGUGAACAUUCAAGGGCAGGCUGGAUGGGGCUCUGAGCAACCUGAUCUAGUUGAAGAUGUCCUGCUCAUGGCAGGGGAGUUGGACUAGAUGACCUCUGAAGGUCCCUUCGAACCUGAACUAUUCUAUGAGGAGCAGAACAGCACCACUCGCUUUGGGGAAGGGCACAUUUAUGUUGUAGUCUGAUAACUACACCUGUCAGGAACAUUUCUUAUGCCUUGGGAUUCUUCCUGUGCCAGGGCUGUUGUAUCCAGCCUCGUAUCUGCCUCUGUUACCAGUGUGGCACCGUGACCUAUAUAGUCAGGCAAGAAAUACCCAACAGCGAUGGCGGAUUUCCCUCUUUCAGUCACACAGCAUGCAGUCUAUACCGCAAUUCUGUCUGCAUGCACCCACUCAGACCCUCGUCUGGCAAAAGAGACGUGCAUGUAUGUAACGAAGAUUAGCCGAGCCAUUCAGCUGCAGGGACUGCUUUUCUGAGUUAAGUCACUAGUGGGCAUGGAGUUUCAUUUUGUCUUGAACAGUUUAUGAUCUGAGACUUUUGUGAUACACUGUGCAGAUAGAAGAUAUAGUGAUGCCAGGAUGGUGGUUUUGUGACUCUGAUGUUUAGUCUGUUUUGAAAUAUCGAGUGGAACUACCAACAUUUUUCAAGUUUUUUUUGAACCAGUAUAAAUGGCUGGUUCUUCUUACGAAUUAAAGGACCAGCAUCAGUUAUUAGUUAUUACACUUGUCUUACAUGAUACGGCAGUGUUUGUGCACCAGCUGGUCUUCCUCGUCACAGUUCCCUGGAAAAGAGAGAUAGCAAUCUUAUUUUCUUAAGAAAGGACUUAUAAUGAAGGCACCACUUAUUCCUUAAAUCAUAGAAUCCUGACCUAUUUGAAUUCUGACAUCCGCUAUUGAAAACAUAGGUGCCUGACUUUUCAUGGCCUACUCAAACCUACUCAGCACAAGUAGGUCACAGUAUGUAGGCUAUAUGUGAGUAGGUCACAUUGACUUACACAGGCGAAGUUGGGCAUGUCUGCUUGUUUUUUUCUCAAUGUGUUGUAAAUUAUUGUUGGGUUGCUCAAGGAAUGCAUUUUAAGGAAAAUGCUGAAUUGGGACACUGUGUGGCUGUGUAAACUUUGAAGGUUUUAGCAUAGAAAAAACUACAAAAAAUACUGAAAAAAUACAUGCAGCUGGCACUGGAUAUAGGUUUGACAGCAGUAGGGAAAAGAGAGAAGCCAUCCCACAGGCACACAACCUGGGAUGCAGUCCGUGCCCCAUUGUGCCAGCUGGAGGCUGCAUUUUCCUGAGGCUUCUUGCUGUAACCCUGCCCCGACAACACUUCUACAAGCUGUUGUGUUGAGCCUUAAGUCCAUAUGUAAAACAAACAAGGCACAUUUUCCAAAUCACCUUAAAAACUGUGUGGGGAACUGGGAGGCCUCUGUGCUGCAAGGUAUGGCAUCAGUCCUAUGUAUAUGGUAAUAAUAUUCACAAAUACAAAGAAAGUCUCAAGAAACUUGUGAUACAAUGUCUUAGAUGAAGAUCUUGAAAGAGUUAAGAGCUGCCCUCCUUGAUUCCAUUAUUUUCUUCUCCUUUUCGCUCUGUGUAUCAGUAUUUCUAUAUGUGUAUGUGUGUGUGUAUAUAUAUGUAGACAUUUGAAGAAAGGGAAUAUAAAAAUCAGAUGGGCUCUGUAUCUUUCAUGGAAUAUACAUGGGGAAUUAUUUAGAUUACAAGGAAUGGGCUAUGUAGCUCUUCAGUUUCCUGUCGGUGGCCUGAAUCUCACAGUAAAAACAUUCUCACUUUCCAAAUCACGUGAACCCCAAGCGCGGAUGCUGCCCACACCAGCAGAAGAGGCGGCACCUGAGCGAGGGCAGCAGUCGCUGUGCUGGCUCAUCACGCGGGACGCGGGACGUGCUCCAGCUCAGGGUGGGACGGAGAAGGAAGGCUCUGCUGCCACCCAGACCAAGGGGGUUUGUUACAUGUGGAUGUGUUGCGUUCUCUAUGACAGAUUUUGGAGCCCUUCCCAACAGCUCAAUUAAAGAACACUUGCUCUAAUUAAUAA